GAUGAACGCUGGCGGCGUGCCUAAUACAUGCAAGUCGAGCGAACAGACGAGGAGCUUGCUCCUCUGACGUUAGCGGCGGACGGGUGAGUAACACGUGGAUAACCUACCUAUAAGACUGGGAUAACUUCGGGAAACCGGAGCUAAUACCGGAUAAUAUAUUGAACCGCAUGGUUCAAUAGUGAAAGACGGUUUUGCUGUCACUUAUAGAUGGAUCCGCGCCGCAUUAGCUAGUUGGUAAGGUAACGGCUUACCAAGGCAACGAUGCGUAGCAGACCUGAGAGGGUGAUCGGCCACACGGGAACUGAGACACGGUCCAGACUCCUACGGGAGGCAGCAGUAGGGAAUCUUCCGCAAUGGGCGAAAGCCUGACGGAGCAACGCCGCGUGAGUGAUGAAGGUCUUCGGAUCGUAAAACUCUGUUAUUAGGGAAGAACAAAUGUGUAAGUAACUAUGCACGUCUUGACGGUACCUAAUCAGAAAGCCACGGCUAACUACGUG
Molecule: ribosomal RNA, 497 nt
Filed under: uncultured bacterium
Lineage: Bacteria
Description: partial 16S ribosomal RNA
Rfam family: Bacterial small subunit ribosomal RNA
Source: RNAcentral